GGAACAUCAAUGGUGCCAAGUGCCAUUUAAAAAUCUUUUCAUCUUCCUGUGUGUUGCUUCUAGAGAGGAAAUGUUCUAAGAUGUGGUUUCCAGUCUUGUAGAAAAAUGGCAUUUUCAGGCUGUGUGGGACUCUUACAUCAUCUAGUUUCAAUCACCUCAUUUUGCAGAUCAAGAAACUGAGAGUGAGAAACAAGGGACUGGCCAGAGUUACUCAGCUAGACAGUGUCAGACAACAGUGGAACUUGUGAAAAAUGCCAAAAUGGUUGAGCGUUUGCAGCUGAGACGCCUAUGAGCUAAUGAAGGUCAAGCAGACUAAGGCCCCGGGGAGACACAGCAAAGCUGGCAUCGGAAAUGAGAUCUGGCUUCUCAUAAUGAUUGGCAAACACACUGCCUAUUUACAGCAUAGAGACCCCAGUGGAGAGCUAGUUUAG
This 431-nucleotide long non-coding RNA is filed under the name Callithrix jacchus (white-tufted-ear marmoset). RNAcentral's name for it is "lncRNA (ENSCJAG00000072567.1)". The record is from RNAcentral. Lineage: Eukaryota; Metazoa; Chordata; Mammalia; Primates; Cebidae.